This 244-nucleotide unclassified non-coding RNA is filed under the name fungal sp. RNAcentral describes it as "partial internal transcribed spacer region". The stretch from base 1 to 46 matches the Rfam family "Eukaryotic small subunit ribosomal RNA", at positions 1786 to 1831 of the family's 1831-position model. Lineage: Eukaryota; Fungi. The record is from RNAcentral.
AAGUCGUAACAAGGUCUCCGUUGGUGAACCAGCGGAGGGAUCAUUACAGAGUUACUACUCCAAACCCAUUGUGAACCUUACCUAUGUUCUGUUGCCUCGGCGGCGUGGUCAGCGCCCCCUCUGAAAAGAGGACGAUGUCCUCCCGCCGGCAGCACCAAACUCUUUGAAUUUUACAGCGGAUCACAGUUCUGAUUUGAAAACAAAAAACAAGUUAAAACUUUCAACAACGGAUCUCUUGGUUCUG